This 413-nucleotide unclassified non-coding RNA is filed under the name soil metagenome. Its description in RNAcentral is "partial contains 5.8S ribosomal RNA, internal transcribed spacer 2, and large subunit ribosomal RNA". The stretch from base 1 to 120 matches the Rfam family "5.8S ribosomal RNA", at positions 35 to 154 of the family's 154-position model. The record is from RNAcentral.
GAUGAAGAACGUAGCGAAAUGCGAUAAGUAAUGUGAAUUGCAGAAUUCAGUGAAUCAUCGAAUCUUUGAACGCACCUUGCGCUCUUUGGUAUUCCGAAGAGCAUGCCUGUUUGAGUGUCAUGAAAAUAUCAACCUUGACUUGGGUUUUGUGCUCUAGUCUCGGCUUGGAAUUGGGUGCUUGCCGCUUUAACGAGCGGCUCACCUUAAAUGUAUUAGCUGGAUCUGUCUUUGAGACUUGGUUUGACUUGGCGUAAUAAGUAUUUCGCUAAGGACAUUCUUCGGAGUGGCCUCGUUUCUAGGACGCUUGUCCGCUUUCCAAUACAAGUUACACCUCGUGGACAUGACUUUUUAUUAUCUGGCCUCAAAUCAGGUAGGACUACCCGCUGAACUUAAGCAUAUCAAUAAGCGGAGGA